CCUGACUGCUAUCGGAUUGAUACUAAGCCAUGCGAGUCGUUGUAGCAAUACAAGGGAGACGGCUCAGUAACACGUAGUCAACCCACCCUAUGGUCGGGGAUAAUCUCGGGAAACUGAGCAUAAUACCCGAUAGGUCAUAAUGCCUGGAAUGGUUUAUGGCCCAAAUGAUUUAUCGCCAUAGGAUGGGACUGCGGUCUAUCAGCUUGUUGGUGAGGUAAUGGCCCACCAAGGCAAUAACAGAUACGGGCUCUGAGAGGAGAAGCCCGGAGAUGGGUACUGAGACACGGACCCAGGCCCUAUGGGGCGCAGCAGGCGAGAAAACUUUGCAAUGUGCGAAAGCACGACAAGGUUAAUCCGAGUGUUUCCUGCUAAAGGAAUCUUUUGUCGAUCCUAAAAACACCGAUGAAUAAGGGGUGGGCAAGUUCUGGUGUCAGCCGCCGCGGUAAAACCAGCACCUCAAGUGGUCAGGAGGAUUAUUGGGCCUAAAGCAUCCGUAGCCGGCUGUGUUAGUCUCCGGUUAAAUCCAUAUGCUUAACAUAUGGGCUGCCGGAGAUACUGCACAGCUAGGGAGUGGGAGAGGUAGACGGUACUUGGUAGGAAGGGGUAAAAUCCUUUAAUCUACUGAUGACCACCUGUGGCGAAGGCGGUCUACUAGAACACGUCCGACGGUGAGGGAUGAAAGCUGGGGGAGCAAACCGGAUUAGAUACCCGGGUAGUCCCAGCUGUAAACAAUGCAAACUCAGUGAUGCGCUGGCUUGUGGCCAGCGCAGUGCCGCAGGGAAGCCGUUAAGUUUGCCGCCUGGGAAGUACGUACGCAAGUAUGAAACUUAAAGGAAUUGGCGGGGGAGCACCACAAGGGGUGAAGCCUGCGGUUC
This 875-nucleotide ribosomal RNA is filed under the name uncultured Nitrososphaerota archaeon. Its description in RNAcentral is "bacterial SSU rRNA". It matches the Rfam family "Archaeal small subunit ribosomal RNA", at positions 21 to 903 of the family's 1478-position model. The record is from RNAcentral. Lineage: Archaea; Thermoproteati; Nitrososphaerota.